RNAcentral lists this ribosomal RNA (253 nucleotides) under uncultured bacterium. RNAcentral's name for it is "partial 16S ribosomal RNA". It matches the Rfam family "Bacterial small subunit ribosomal RNA", at positions 524 to 776 of the family's 1533-position model. The record is from RNAcentral.
UACAGAGGUCCCAAGCGUUGUUCGGAUUCACUGGGCGUAAAGGGUGCGUAGGUGGUGAGGUAAGUCGGAUGUGAAAUCUCCAAGCUCAACUUGGAAACUGCAUUGGAAACUACCUUGCUAGAGGAUUUGAGGGGGGAUUGGAAUACUUGGUGUAGCAGUGAAAUGCGUAGAUAUCAAGUGGAACACCAGUGGCGAAGGCGACCACCUGGACUGAUACUGACACUGAGGUGCGAAAGCGUGGGGAGCAAACAGG